This 2315-nucleotide long non-coding RNA is filed under the name Anas platyrhynchos platyrhynchos (common mallard). RNAcentral describes it as "lncRNA (ENSAPLG00000022886.1)". The record is from RNAcentral. Lineage: Eukaryota; Metazoa; Chordata; Aves; Anseriformes; Anatidae.
UGCCCAUCGAGCAUCAGCACCGCACCGUGCCCGGUCCAUGUGCAGAUACAGAUAAAAACAUUUAAUAUUCCUCGUGGCAGAGGCUGCAAUUUCUAACCUGAAUGAAGUCACUUGAAACCGAGCCUCUGAUUGUCAAGAGCAGUUAAACUCUCAUCUGCUGGCGCUUGUUUAUUCCCUGCGCUAGGGUCCCUUUCCUGUUGUGAUUAGAAAGCUCCUGGCAGAAGGGGUUUUGCACAGAUCCCCCUCUUCCAGAGGCUGCCUUCCUGCCUUUCUUCCCUUUCUCUCUCUCUUAAUGAAAAUGUUGCGUGCUCGUCAAAAAAAGUGUUUCUGGCUAUGGAUGAAGAUGUAGAAACUGCCAUAAUAGGAGACCAAAGUGAGCAGGCAGCCGCACGCUGAUUAGAGACCAUUAAAAUCCCUUCUGCGACCAGCACCGGUGUAGGAAAACAAGAGGGACUUCUAUGCUGAAAUGGAUUGCAAAAUAAAAAUUACAUCUAGCUGAGGUCAUUUCUUGCAUGAUGUAUCUUGGGAAAAGAGGGGUUUCUCUUCUUUCCCUGAGAUAUUCAGAAAUUCAAAAUAAAAGCUUUUAGUUUAGGGGAGCGUCGAGGCAGAACAGCACAGACAGAACCUGAGAGCGGUGUUAAUUUUGCCUUGAUUUUUUCUUUCUCUCUAUCUGACAAUCUUUAGGAAAAAAAAUAUCUUGACAUUUUUGUUUCCUUAUUUGCUUGUCUUCUCGAUAUGUCAGGAAGCAGACAAGAUUAUAACACAAUCCCCGCUUUCAGCAAAAGACAUACAUUUGCCAUCCAAACAGCAGAGAUAAGGUUGCGAAUUCUGUGCUUGGGGCACUUUGUGCGGCUCCUCUGAAUUUACCAAGCCCUCCCCACUCUCACCAGGAGAGCAUCUGCCCACUAUUUGGCUAUAUAAAUCUGCUGAACAUCCAUGUAGCAUGGUGGUUUCCAACACACCAGGUCUGACCGAGCUGUGGUCACCCAUGCAGGAGGGAUGUCCCACAGGCACAUGUUGUGCUGCUCGUGUCCCUGGUGGUCCUUCCGCAGAUGCAUUGAGCUGCAAACACCAAACAGAACACGUUGGCUCCUCCACAUUUAGUCCCCAGCCCAAAUAUGCCCCAGAACCAUGCAUCCAUGCCCCAUCACCCUGGCUCUGCGGUGACCAAGGUGCAGCCCACCCCUCCUGCCCUGACUCCUCCGUUCCCACCUCUGCCAAAUCUCUCCUCUGGGCACCGUCACCUCACCUUCACACCAAGCCUCCUGCCUCCUGCCUGGCGCUGAGGCCUCACGUGGCAUCACGGUGUCGCUGAGGAUGCUGCUGAAGUGCUCCUGGGAGUCAAGCCCCUGCCCAGCACCCUGAGGACAGCCUUAUUCUUGCCAACGUCCCUGCUGGGGAGGGCAAGGAGUGAAUGAAACCAGGACGACGUGAGAGGAGUUGUGCUUGGUGCAAGCCAGGUGUGGUGGGACCUCGGGAAGGGGAUGGGUGCAGGGCUGGCAGGAGCUGAGACAGAAGCCUUGCUGGGCAGUGAAAAAUGUGGAAAAUUGCUCCAGAUUAAAGGGUCUGAAGGUGGUUUGGUGGUUGGCAGUUCGAAGUUGCUGUGGAUGCUGCUUCAAACACAGGCUGCUCAGGUGUAAUGCUCGGCAGGUACUUGCACAUCCCAUCACCUCACAUCCCCACCAGAGGCAGAGGGCAGCACAGCCUCUGGGGAGAAGCAGGGAAAGGAAGGAAGGACAUGAGGAUCCCAUCCUGGAAAACGUCCUCCUCAUGGAGCCAAGCUCCAAUGGAUCCCAUACAGCUCGUGUAGACUUGGUGUUACUCAGCAGCGUCACAACCUGCUCACAGCCACCCUACUGAGGAAAACAUCAACUUGGGAUAGUCUGUGCCUCACGUCCAGGCUUGGGGGUGACUCAGGUAAAACCUGGGGAGAAGAAAAUCUCACCUAACCAUUACUGGACCCCACGAAGCCUCUGUCAGCCUGCAGUCAGGUAGCCAGAGGUCAGGACAUUUCUGUCUCCAGUAACACCAUCGGGUAGAGCAGCCAUACCUACCUUACCAGAUAGUUGUUAAAGAUACUUGCAAGAAAGCGUGCCCAGAGCAUGAGACGGGGAUGUCCUUUCUCAGCCUGACCAUGGGUGCAGGGGGAGGAGAGGGCACACAGGGUCUGCAGGGAAGGGGGUGGCCGUCUGGGAGCUGGGGAGGACUCCAGGCCUGGAGCCUGCUGGAGCAAUGAGUGGUGCCAGCAAAUUUCCAAGAUUUCUGGGCUUUAGCCCCAGUUUGGUUGUUCCCAUAGUGGUUCUUCCUGCUGAAGC